RNAcentral lists this long non-coding RNA (1426 nucleotides) under Nicotiana benthamiana. RNAcentral's name for it is "long non-coding RNA (NBEN_LNC031007)". The record is from RNAcentral. Lineage: Eukaryota; Viridiplantae; Streptophyta; Magnoliopsida; Solanales; Solanaceae.
CCGGCUUGUCUCACCUCGUUAAAAAAUCUCCGUAUCGUUGAUCUCAUCGGAAACAAAAUCACCGGCCAAAUCCCGGCGAACAUCGGUCAGCUGAGUAAACUCGCCGUCCUUAACCUCGCCGACAACCAAAUCUCCGGUUCAAUCCCCGGCUCAAUAGUCAAUCUCGGAAAAUUAAUGCACCUUGACCUCAGCAACAAUCAGCUCUCCGGCGAAAUUCCGUCCGAUAUCGGAAAACUCAGCAUGAUGAGCAGAGCACUAAUCAACAAGAACAAACUCACCGGUUCAAUCCCGAACUCAAUCUCCAAACUCUACCGGUUAGCCGAUCUCGAUUUAGCAAUGAACCCCUCUGCAAACUCGAUGGCCUUACUACCCUCAUCGUCGCCGACUGGAAAGAUAUCUCCGGCGAACUUCCGGCUUGUCUCACUUCGUUAAAAAAUCUCCGUAUCGUUGAUCUCAUCGGAAACAAAAUCACCGGCAAAAUUCCGGCGAACAUCGGUCAGCUGAGUAAACUCGCCGUCCUUAACCUCGCCGACAACCAAAUCUCCGGUUCAAUCCCCGGCUCAAUCGUCAAUCUCGGAAAAUUAAUGCACCUUGACCUCAGCAACAAUCAGCUCUCCGGCGAAAUUCCGUCCGAUAUCGGAAAACUCAGCAUGAUGAGCAGAGCACUAAUCAACAAGAACAAACUCACCGGUUCAAUCCCGAACUCAAUCUCCAAACUCUACCGGUUAGCCGAUCUCGAUUUAGCAAUGAACCAAAUUACCGGUUCAAUCCCAGCUCAGCUCGGUUCAAUGCCUGUUCUCUCAACCCUAAACCUAGACUCAAACCAACUCUCCGGUUCAAUUCCCACUAAUCUACUCAGUAGCCCCGGUUUAAACAUCCUCAACUUAAGUAGAAACUCAUUAGAAGGAUUAUUACCCGAUGUUUUUGGUUCAAAAACAUAUUUUACACAUCUCGAUUUAUCGUACAAUAAUCUUAGGGGUUCAAUUCCUAAAUCAUUAGCUUCAGCUAAGUACAUUGGUCAUUUGGAUUUGAGCUACAAUCAUCUUUGUGGCCCGAUUCCAAACGGGUCCCCAUUUGACCAUUUAGAGGCUUCAUCUUUCUCUAACAACGAUUGUUUGUGUGGAUCGCCAUUACGUACUUGUUAAUGGGUUUAUGUUUUGUAAUUAAUCGAAUUAUCGGUUGGUUACACAUAAUUGGGUGUGUAUUCUAUGUUGUAAUGGUGAAAUCUUCUCUUAAUGUCAUGUUUAGCUUAAAUACUGAAGUGUAAGUGUAACCUUGAAUUAUUGCUAAGCGACGGUUAUGAGGUUGCAUCAUGCAUGCACGUGAAGAUGUGUAAAAGUUUCCCACGAAGAAAAUUGUAUGCUUUUAUUAUUUGUAAAUCCCACGAACUUUUAUUUACUCAAUUAUUUGUUCUCUUUUUCCUACA